This 204-nucleotide unclassified non-coding RNA is filed under the name Hevea brasiliensis (rubber tree). The record is from RNAcentral. Lineage: Eukaryota; Viridiplantae; Streptophyta; Magnoliopsida; Malpighiales; Euphorbiaceae.
CUCUGCUUCAAAAUUCCACUGGUCCAUAAUCUCCUCCACAUUAUAAUUGGUUCAGGGUAUUAAAACAUUAAAAUCAAGAUAUAUUAUUAUACAUUGAAAACCCUAACAAAUCAAAGAUCAGAAAUCACAUAUGAACAAGAUCUGUGGUUUCCCUUUUCAUUAUUAAAUCUAAUGUGAAGAACCUUGCUAAAAAUUUAAAACUUC